UAACGAAUCUUCCCCAAUGCACGAAAGUGUGAGGGAGCGACGCCGCGUGGAGGACGAAGUCCUUCGGGAUGUAAACUCCUGUCAGGGAUUAGAAAGUUCUGAUCAAUCCCAGAGGAAGUGGCGGCUAACUCUGUGCCAGCAGCCGCGGUAAGACAGAGGCCACAAGCGUUAGGCGGAAUCACUGGGCUUAAAGCGUGUGUAGGCGGAUCGUUAAGUGCCUUGUGAAAUCCCCCGGCUCAACCGGGGAACGGCUGGGCAUACUGGCGAUCUUGAGCUGCCUAGGGGCGACUGGAACAAACGGUGGAGCGGUGAAAUGCGUAGAUAUCGUUUGGAACGCCAAUGGUGAAAACAGGUCGCUGGGGGCAAGCUGACGCUGAGACACGAAAGCCAGGGGAGCAAACGGGAUUAGAUACCCCCGUAGUCC
RNAcentral lists this ribosomal RNA (424 nucleotides) under uncultured bacterium. RNAcentral's name for it is "bacterial SSU rRNA". It matches the Rfam family "Bacterial small subunit ribosomal RNA", at positions 355 to 796 of the family's 1533-position model. The record is from RNAcentral.